CGGGGGGGCAAGCGUUGUUCGGAAUUACUGGGCGUAAAGGGCGCGUAGGCGGCCUGCUAAGUCGGACGUGAAAUCCCUCGGCUCAACCGGGGAACUGCGUCCGAUACUGGUGGGCUCGAAUCCGGGAGAGGGAUGUGGAAUUCCAGGUGUAGCGGUGAAAUGCAUAGAUAUCUGGAGGAACACCGGUGGCGAAGGCGGCAUCCUGGACCGGUAUUGACGCUGAUGCGCGAAAGCCAGGGGAGCAAACGGGAUUAGAUACCCCGGUAGUCCUGGCCCUAAACGAUGAGUGCUUGGUGUGGCGGGUAUCGAUCCCUGCCGUGCCGAAGCUAACGCAUUAAGCACUCCGCCUGGGGAGUACGGUCGCAAGGCUG
This 371-nucleotide ribosomal RNA is filed under the name uncultured organism. RNAcentral describes it as "bacterial SSU rRNA". It matches the Rfam family "Bacterial small subunit ribosomal RNA", at positions 527 to 896 of the family's 1533-position model. The record is from RNAcentral.